UCGCUGAAAGAUGGGCUCAUAUCUGAUUAGCUGGUUGGUGAGGUAACGGCUCACCAAGGCUGCGAUCAGUAGCCGGACUGAGAGGUUGAACGGCCACAUUGGGACUGAGAUACGGCCCAAACUCCUACGGGAGGCAGCAGUGGGGAAUAUUGCACAAUGGGCGAAAGCCUGAUGCAGCGACGCCGCGUGAGUGAAGAAGUAUUUCGGUAUGUAAAGCUCUAUCAGCAGGGAAGAAAAUGACGGUACCUGACUAAGAAGCCCCGGCUAACUACGUGCCAGCAGCCGCGGUAAUACGUAGGGGGCAAGCGUUGUCCGGAAUUACUGGGUGUAAAGGGAGCGUAGACGGCUUUGCAAGCCAGAUGUGAAAGCCCGGGGCUCAACCCCGGGACUGCAUUUGGAACUGUAAUGCUAGAGUGUCGGAGAGGCAAGUGGAAUUCCUAGUGUAGCGGUGAAAUGCGUAGAUAUUAGGAGGAACACCAGUGGCGAAGGCGGCUUGCUGGACGAUGACUGACGUUGAGGCUCGAAAGCGUGGGGAGCAAACAGGAUUA
RNAcentral lists this ribosomal RNA (548 nucleotides) under uncultured bacterium. Its description in RNAcentral is "bacterial SSU rRNA". It matches the Rfam family "Bacterial small subunit ribosomal RNA", at positions 215 to 780 of the family's 1533-position model. The record is from RNAcentral.